Small nuclear RNA from Schistocerca americana (American grasshopper), 109 nucleotides. Lineage: Eukaryota; Metazoa; Arthropoda; Insecta; Orthoptera; Acrididae. The record is from RefSeq and is a predicted model, not a curated record.
GUACUCGCUUCGGCGGUACAUAUACUAAAAUUGGAACGAUACAGAGAAGAUUAGUAUGGCCCCUGCGCAAGGAUGACCGGAUUGAUGUAGCGUAAUGAGUAGCGUUACU